AGCGACGAAUAUUCCGCAAUGCGCGAAAGCGUGACGGAGCAAUGCCGCGUGAAGGAUGAAGCAUCUCGGUGUGUAAACUUCUGUCAGGUCUUAGAAAGUACUGAUCAGGACCAAAGGAAGGGCCGGCUAAGUUCGUGCCAGCAGCCGCGGUAAUACGAACGGCCCGAGCGUUAAUCGGAAUCACUGGGCUUAAAGCGUACGCAGGCGGACCAGAAAGUACCUUGUGAAAUCCCUCGGCUCAACCGAGGAACUGCUUGGUAUACUGCUGGUCUUGAGUGUGGUAGGGGCGGUCGGAACGAUAGGUGGAGCGGUGAAAUGCGUAGAUAUCUAUCGGAACGCCAAAGGAGAAGUCAGGCCGCUGGGCCACCACUGACGCUCAUGUACGAAAGCGUGGGUAGCGAACGGGAUUAGAUACCCCGGUAGUCCACGCCGUAAACGAUGUGCACUAGACUCGGGAGGAUCUGACGCCCUCCGAGUUGCAGAGAAAUCAUUAAGUGCACCGCCUGGGGAGUACGGUCGCAAGGCUAAAACUCAAAGGAAUUGACGGGGGCUCACACAAGCGGUGGAGCAUGUGGCUUAAUUCGAAGCAACGCGAAGAACCUUAUCCUGGAUUGAACUACGGCGGAUUAGUGAUGUGAAAGCAUCAUGACGCAGUUUACUGUGGAACGUCGAUAGGUGCUGCAUGGCUGUCGUCAGCUCGUGCUGUGAAGUGUCGGGUUAAGUCCCUUAACGAGCGAAACCCCUGUCGUUAGUUGCCAACACGUAAUGGUGGGGACUCUAACGAGACUGCCGGUGUCAAACCGGAGGAAGGUGGGGAUGACGUCAAGUCCUCAUGGCCUUUAUGUCCAGGGCUGCACACGUGCUACAAUGGCGUAUACAGAGCGACGCGAGACCGCGAGGUGGAGCAAAUCGCAAAAAGUACGCCCCAGUUCGGAUUGGAGUCUGCAACUCGACUCCAUGAAGAUGGAAUCGCUAGUAAUCGCGUAUCAGCUACGACGCGGUGAAUACGUUCCUGAGCCUUGUACACACCGCCCGUCAAGUCAUGGAAGCCGGGAGUGCCCGAAGCCGCCCUGAGUCAGGGGUGUCUAAGGUAAGUUCGGUGACUGGGACU
RNAcentral lists this ribosomal RNA (1111 nucleotides) under uncultured bacterium. Its description in RNAcentral is "bacterial SSU rRNA". It matches the Rfam family "Bacterial small subunit ribosomal RNA", at positions 353 to 1482 of the family's 1533-position model. The record is from RNAcentral.